RNAcentral lists this ribosomal RNA (427 nucleotides) under uncultured bacterium. RNAcentral's name for it is "bacterial SSU rRNA". It matches the Rfam family "Bacterial small subunit ribosomal RNA", at positions 355 to 774 of the family's 1533-position model. The record is from RNAcentral.
UAGGGAAUAUUGGACAAUGGGGGCAACCCUGAUCCAGCCAUGCCGCGUGAGUGAAGAAGGCCCUCGGGUUGUAAAGCUCUUUUGUCCGGAAAGAAAAGCUUCGGGUUAAUACCCCGGGGUUCUGACGGUACCGGAAGAAUAAGCACCGGCUAACUUCGUGCCAGCAGCCGCGGUAAUACGAAGGGUGCAAGCGUUACUCGGAAUUACUGGGCGUCAAGCGUGCGUAGGUGGUUGUUUAAGUCUGAUGUGAAAGCCCUGGGCUCAACCUGGGAAUGGCAUUGGAAUCUGGGCAGCGAGAGUGCGGUAGAGGGUAGUGGAAUUCCCGGUGUAGCAGUGAAAUGCGUAGAGAUCGGGAGGAACGUCUGUGGCGAAGGCGACUGCCUGGACCAGCACUGACACUGAGGCACGAAAGCGUGGGGAGCAAACA